Molecule: ribosomal RNA, 402 nt
Filed under: uncultured bacterium
Lineage: Bacteria
Description: bacterial SSU rRNA
Rfam family: Bacterial small subunit ribosomal RNA
Source: RNAcentral
GGGGAAUAUUAGUAAUGGGCGAAAGCCUGAACUAGCAACGCCGCGUGUGCGAAGAAGGCCUUCGGGUUGUAAAGCACUUUUUGAGAGGAUGAGGAAGGACGGUACUCUCAGAAUAAGUCUCGGCUAACUACGUGCCAGCAGCCGCGGUAACACGUAGGAGGCAAACGUUAUCCGGAUUUACUGGGCGUAAAGCGCGUGUAGGUGGUUUGGUAAGUAGGGCGUGAAAGCUCCUGGCUCAACUGGGAGAGGACGUUCUAAACUGCCAAGCUUGAGGAUGGUAGAGGGAGGUGGAAUUCCGGGUGUAGCGGUGGAAUGCGCAGAUAUCCGGAGGAACACCAGUGGCGAAGGCGGCCUCCUGGACCACUCCUGACACUCAGACGCGAAAGCUAGGGUAGCAAACGG